Molecule: ribosomal RNA, 513 nt
Filed under: uncultured bacterium
Lineage: Bacteria
Description: partial 16S ribosomal RNA
Rfam family: Bacterial small subunit ribosomal RNA
Source: RNAcentral
GACGAACGCUGGCGGCAUGCCUAAUACAUGCAAGUCGAGCGAACAGAUGAAGUGCUUGCGCUCCUGACGUUAGCGGCGAACGGGUGAGUAACACGUAAGGAAUCUACCUAUAAGCGGGGGAUAACAUUCGGAAACGGGUGCUAAUACCGCAUAAUAUCUUCUUCCGCAUGGAAGAAGAUUGAAAGACGGCUCUGCUGUCACUUAUAGAUGACCUUGCGGUGCAUUAGUUAGUUGGUGGGGUAAUGGCCUACCAAGACGAUGAUGCAUAGCCGACCUGAGAGGGUGAUCGGCCACAUUGGGACUGAGACACGGCCCAAACUCCUACGGGAGGCAGCAGUAGGGAAUCUUCCGCAAUGGGCGAAAGCCUGACGGAGCAAUGCCGCGUGAGUGAAGAAGGCCUUCGGGUCGUAAAACUCUGUUAUAAGAGAAGAACAAAUUGUAGAGUAACUGCUACAGUCUUGACGGUAUCUUAUCAGAAAGCCACGGCUAACUACGUGCCAGCAGCCGCGGUAA